RNAcentral lists this long non-coding RNA (400 nucleotides) under Mytilus galloprovincialis (Mediterranean mussel). The record is from RNAcentral. Lineage: Eukaryota; Metazoa; Mollusca; Bivalvia; Mytilida; Mytilidae.
CCCCGACUAUGACAUCAUCAAAUAAAGCUUAUUGACAAAUUUGUAUUUACAUAAAUAAUGACUGGUGUCACACUGUUCACCCCUUCCGGAAUACAUGAGACCGCCUACCCCAUUUGUGUGGUUCGUUCAACUCGGUCUUUAUUUUUCUGUUUUGUAUUGGAUAGACUCUUUGUCUUUUUGUUCGUUAUCUUUUUUUUGCAUGGUGUUGUCAGAUGUCUUCGACUUAUGUUUUUUUUUUUUUACAUAAAUAAUAUGAGAGUUGUCACACGUGAAGUAGCAUCUGGUCAACCUUCCUGAGCAUAUGAGAUCCUUCCAGGUGAUUGGUAUAGUUCGUUUAGCUCAGUGUUAAGUUUUCUGUUUUGUGUUGUUGAGACUGUUGUUUGUCUUUUUGGUCGAUUUU